AGUGAACGCUGGCGGUAGGCUUAACACAUGCAUGUCGAACGGCAGCACAGGAGAGCUUGCCCUCUGGGUGGCGAGUGGCGGGCGGGUGAGGAAUACAUCGGAAUCUACUUUUAAGUGGGGGACAACGCAGGGAAACUUCCGCUAAUACAGCAUACGAGCUACGGGUGAAAGCAGGGGACCUUCAGGUCUUGCGCGAUUGAAUGAGCCGAUGUCGGUUUAGCUAGUUGGCGGGGUAAAGGCCCACCAAGGCGACGAGCCGUAGCUGGUCUGAGAGGAUGAGCAGCCACACUGGAACUGAAACACGGUCCAGACUCCUACGGGAGGCAGCAGUGGGGAAUAUUGGACAAUGGGCGCAAGCCUGAUCCAGCCAUACCGCGUGGGUGAAGAAGGCCUUCGGGUUGUAAAGCCCUUUUGUUGGGAAAGAAAUCCAGCUGGCUAAUACCCGGUUGGGAUGACGGUACCCAAAGAAUAAGCACCGGCUAACUUCGUGCCAGCCGCCGCGGUAA
RNAcentral lists this ribosomal RNA (506 nucleotides) under uncultured bacterium. RNAcentral describes it as "partial 16S ribosomal RNA". It matches the Rfam family "Bacterial small subunit ribosomal RNA", at positions 29 to 523 of the family's 1533-position model. The record is from RNAcentral.